Molecule: non-coding RNA, 215 nt
Filed under: Bacteroidota bacterium
Lineage: Bacteria; Pseudomonadati; Bacteroidota
Source: RNAcentral
AUCUUUGCCCCGAAUUUUGGUUUUAUUCACUUCAAACGGCUUCGAAGUGAAUGAUGAAAAGGGAAUCAGGUGUAAAUCCUGAACAGACCCGCUGCUGUAAGCUCCGCUUAUGUGCUGAACAAUUACCUCAAUUGCCACUGUUCCGGUAGACCGGGAUGGGAAGGCGUUCAGACACGGGAGUAAGUCAGAAGACCUGCCAGAAUACAGAUCGUUUU